GGCUGGUUAGCUCAGCUGGUCAGAGCGUGGUGCUAAUAUCGCUGAGGUCAUGGGUUCAAUUCCCAUACUGGUCU
This 74-nucleotide transfer RNA is filed under the name Poecilia formosa (Amazon molly). It matches the Rfam family "tRNA". Rfam says of the family: Transfer RNA (tRNA) molecules are approximately 80 nucleotides in length. Lineage: Eukaryota; Metazoa; Chordata; Actinopteri; Cyprinodontiformes; Poeciliidae. The record is from Rfam by way of RNAcentral.